RNAcentral lists this ribosomal RNA (497 nucleotides) under uncultured bacterium. Its description in RNAcentral is "partial 16S ribosomal RNA". It matches the Rfam family "Bacterial small subunit ribosomal RNA", at positions 28 to 507 of the family's 1533-position model. The record is from RNAcentral.
GAUGAACGCUGGCGGCGUGCCCAAUACAUGCAAGUCGAGCGAACAGACGAGGAGCUUGCUCCUCUGACGUUAGCGGCGGACGGGUGAGUAACACGUGGAUAACCUACCUAUAAGACUGGGAUAACUUCGGGAAACCGGAGCUAAUACCGGAUAAUAUAUUGAACCGCAUGGUUCAAUAGUGAAAGACGGUUUUGCUGUCACUUAUAGAUGGAUCCGCGCCGCAUUAGCUAGUUGGUAAGGUAACGGCUUACCAAGGCAACGAUGCGUAGCCGACCUGAGAGGGUGAUCGGGCACACUGGAACUGAGACACGGUCCAGACUCCUACGGGAGGCAGCAGUAGGGAAUCUUCCGCAAUGGGCGAAAGCUUGACGGAGCAACGCCGCGUGAGUGAUGAAGGUCUUCGGAUCGUAAAACUCUGUUAUUAGGGAAGAACAAAUGUGUAAGUAACUAUGCACGUCUUGACGGUACCUAAUCAGAAAGCCACGGCUAACUACGUG